GACGAACGCUGGCGGCGCGCUUAACACAUGCAAGUCGAACGGAAAGGCCUGCUUUCCCUUGUGGAUUGCGGGUACUCGAGUGGCGAACGGGUGAGUAACACGUGAGUGAUCUGCCCCCAACUUGGGUAUAAGCCUGGGAAACUGGGUCUAAUUCCCGAUAGGACUGCAGGGUGGUGCCUGUGGUGGAAAACGAUUUUCUAGUGGUUGGGGAUGAGCUCGCGGCCUAUCAGCUUGUUGGUGGGGUAAUGGCCUACCAAGGCGGCGACGGGUAGCCGGCCUGAGAGGGUGGACGGGCACAUUGGGACUGAGAUACGGCCCAGACUCCUACGGGAGGCAGCAGUGGGGAGUAUUGCACAAUGGGCGGAAGCCUGAUGCAGCGACGCCGCGUGGGGGAUGACGGCCUUCGGGUUGUAAACUCCUUUCGACCGCGAGGAAGCCACCUGGUUGGAAGGGUGGUGACGGUAGUGGUAGAAGAAGCACCGGCUAACUACGUG
Molecule: ribosomal RNA, 494 nt
Filed under: uncultured bacterium
Lineage: Bacteria
Description: partial 16S ribosomal RNA
Rfam family: Bacterial small subunit ribosomal RNA
Source: RNAcentral